This is a long non-coding RNA of Papaver somniferum (opium poppy), 673 nucleotides long. RefSeq lists it as uncharacterized. NCBI's taxonomy places the organism in Eukaryota, Viridiplantae, Streptophyta, Magnoliopsida, Ranunculales, Papaveraceae. The record is from RefSeq and is a predicted model, not a curated record. The transcript is spliced from 4 exons.
GUUUUCCCUAAUCUCAUAAUCCUCUCUCUCGGAGUUGUGGUUUGAUGCAUAUUCUGAUUUUUAUCUCAGGUGCUAAAUCCAUGGCAAUGGAGGGAGUAUGUUUAAUAGAAUUAUCAUCUCUUAAAAGUGACGUGAUCACUGCAACAGGCUAAUAACAUGAUUUCAGAUGGUACCUUGAAAGUGUACUAAUUUGUACUAAUGGCUACGAGAGUGGGAACGCACAUGAUAAUACAGAAUUACUAAUGGUGCUGGCGAGUACUGAUUUGGUUUGCUGCUAAAGGUUAUGUUGUGCUAAGAGAGGCAAAUAUAUAAGGAACGUAGAUGAAGGAGAAAAUGCUGUAAUCCAGUUGCUGACUGAGGGAGAAACACUUUGGCAUUCAUUCAUGCUCAACUCUCCCUGCUGCAGAGACAAAAAAUUGCUGCUCUUACUGAACUUGGUUAACAUUUGUACAUCUAAGGUUUGUUGGAAAACAUAUCCCUUUUAGAUGUAUUAAUGCUAACCCAAUUCAAGCUAGGAAAACUAAUACAAUUCCAAUUUAUACUGCUGCUCAGCUAGCUUCAGCUUCAGGUAAAGGUAAUUAGUCAUGUUUUUUUCUUUAUGUAGCAGUCAUCUCAAUGUUCAUCUAUACCUAGAGCAAACUAAUUUUUGUUUGAUUUUCAAAUCGAUUUAGCG